AUCAUCAAGAACAUGAAAUUGAAGCCCUUAUUUUGCAUCUUCAACCUCUGUUAUCUGCAGAGCUGCUCCAAAGCAAUACAUCCAAGGAAUCUAGAGUUCAGAUUCUGGAGAAAACAUGCAAUCACAUUAAGAGAUUACAUGGAGAGAUUGAUGAACUGAGUAAGAGAAUUAGUGAGCUAAUGACUUCUUCUUCAGAUACUAUACCAAGAAA
RNAcentral lists this unclassified non-coding RNA (211 nucleotides) under Hevea brasiliensis (rubber tree). Lineage: Eukaryota; Viridiplantae; Streptophyta; Magnoliopsida; Malpighiales; Euphorbiaceae. The record is from RNAcentral.